UGUAUACAUCCCCGACUGGAAG
Molecule: microRNA, 22 nt
Filed under: Pan troglodytes (chimpanzee)
Lineage: Eukaryota; Metazoa; Chordata; Mammalia; Primates; Hominidae
Description: microRNA mir-30d
Source: RNAcentral